This 377-nucleotide ribosomal RNA is filed under the name uncultured bacterium. RNAcentral describes it as "bacterial SSU rRNA". It matches the Rfam family "Bacterial small subunit ribosomal RNA", at positions 523 to 898 of the family's 1533-position model. The record is from RNAcentral.
AUACGUAGGUGGCAAGCGUUGUCCGGAAUUAUUGGGCGUAAAGCGUACGCAGGCGGUUUCUUAAGUCUGAUGUGAAAGCCCACGGCUCAACCGUGGAGGGUCAUUGGAAACUGGGGAACUUGAGUACAGAAGAGGAGAGUGGAAUUCCACGUGUAGCGGUGAAAUGCGUAGAGAUGUGGAGGAACACCAGUGGCGAAGGCGACUCUCUGGUCUGUAACUGACGCUGAGGUACGAAAGCGUGGGGAGCGAACAGGAUUAGAUACCCUGGUAGUCCACGCCGUAAACGAUGAGUGCUAAGUGUUAGAGGGUUUCCGCCCUUUAGUGCUGCAGCAAACGCAUUAAGCACUCCGCCUGGGGAGUACGGUCGCAAGACUGAA